GUGCUUGCUUUGGCGGCACCUAUACUAAAAUUGGAAUGAUACAGAGAUUUGUGUGACCCUUAUGCAAGAGUGACACGUACAUUUAUGAAGCAUUCCAUAUUUUU
Molecule: small nuclear RNA, 104 nt
Organism: Otolemur garnettii (small-eared galago)
Lineage: Eukaryota; Metazoa; Chordata; Mammalia; Primates; Galagidae
Source: Ensembl